CAUUAACAGGCGGCUCCUGCCCUUAAUUAAAGGUCAGCAAGGCUGGGGACAAGGACGGUGCUGGGUGUAGAAGCUUUAAGGGAGCAGCUAUUAAAUGUAUUUAGAGUCGCUGUGGUGGUUUUAUUCAUCCUCCAGGCUGGAAAAACAGGCAGCUUGGGGAGGAGAAAGGGGCCGGCUCAGGUGUGGCAUUAGGACCCAGCGGAUCCCCCUUGGUGGAGUGUCCUCCAGCUGCUCCCCCAUCGCUGCCAUCAGGAUGAGAGCGGUUGGACUCUUCUUGCUGUGUCUGCCAGGUGA
This 294-nucleotide long non-coding RNA is filed under the name Columba livia (rock pigeon). RNAcentral's name for it is "partial uncharacterized LOC106145828". Lineage: Eukaryota; Metazoa; Chordata; Aves; Columbiformes; Columbidae. The record is from RNAcentral.